Long non-coding RNA from Zalophus californianus (California sea lion), 319 nucleotides. RefSeq lists it as uncharacterized. Lineage: Eukaryota; Metazoa; Chordata; Mammalia; Carnivora; Otariidae. The transcript is spliced from 3 exons. The record is from RefSeq and is a predicted model, not a curated record.
CGGAGGCGGAGCUACCUGGGAUACCACACCUCCCCUCUCGGGGCUGAGCUGGCCCGGUUACAUUUACCCGUUGAGAAAGAGAAAUGGAGAGAAACAUUUGUUAAAGAUCAUCUCACGGUACCUGGAUAAUGGGGUUUUUGAAGAUGAUGGGAUGCUAUCCAUUUGUUCAGACUUCGAAGCAGCACAAGUUCUCUCCUCCUUAUCAGACACACUCCUCUCAUCCUGAGGUCAACACUGCCUUCUUCUGUACAACUACUUUCAACAUUAUUCACUUCACACAGUGAGGUAAUGCCAGCUUCUGAUAAAGGCAAAUCUGAAG